RNAcentral lists this ribosomal RNA (582 nucleotides) under uncultured Mycobacterium sp. Its description in RNAcentral is "bacterial SSU rRNA". It matches the Rfam family "Bacterial small subunit ribosomal RNA", at positions 523 to 1103 of the family's 1533-position model. Lineage: Bacteria; Bacillati; Actinomycetota; Actinomycetes; Mycobacteriales; Mycobacteriaceae. The record is from RNAcentral.
AUACGUAGGGUGCGAGCGUUGUCCGGAAUUACUGGGCGUAAAGAGCUCGUAGGUGGUUUGUCGCGUUGUUCGUGAAAUCUCACGGCUUAACUGUGAGCGUGCGGGCGAUACGGGCAGACUAGAGUACUGCAGGGGAGACUGGAAUUCCUGGUGCAGCGGUGGAAUGCGCAGAUAUCAGGAGGAACACCGGUGGCGAAGGCGGGUCUCUGGGCAGUAACUGACGCUGAGGAGCGAAAGCGUGGGGAGCGAACAGGAUUAGAUACCCUGGUAGUCCACGCCGUAAACGGUGGGUACUAGGUGUGGGUUUCCUUCCUUGGGAUCCGUGCCGUAGCUAACGCAUUAAGUACCCCGCCUGGGGAGUACGGCCGCAAGGCUAAAACUCAAAGGAAUUGACGGGGGCCCGCACAAGCGGCGGAGCAUGUGGAUUAAUUCGAUGCAACGCGAAGAACCUUACCUGGGUUUGACAUGCACAGGACGCGUCUAGAGAUAGGCGUUCCCUUGUGGCCUGUGUGCAGGUGGUGCACGGCUGUCGUCAGGCUCGUGUCGUGAGAUGUAGGGUUAAGUCCCGCAACGAGCGCAACC